CAGCCGCGGUAAUUCCAGCUCCAAUAGCGUAUAUUAAAGUUGUUGCAGUUAAAAAGCUCGUAGUUGAAUUUCGGGGUCAGUAGGUUGGUCGUGCCACUGGUAUGUACUGGUCUUACUGAUUUCUCCUUCCUGAAGAACUGUAAUGUCAUUAAUUUGGUGUUGCGGGGAAUCUGGACUGUUACUUUGAAAAAAUUAGAGUGUUUAAAGCAGGCUAACGCUUGAAUACAUUAGCAUGGAAUAAUGAAAUAGGACGAUCGAUCCUAUUUUGUUGGUUUCUAGGAUUGACGUAAUGAUUAAUAGGGAUAGUUGGGGGCAUUAGUAUUCAAUUGUCAGAGGUGAAAUUCUUGGAUUUAUUGAAGACUAACUACUGCGAAAGCAUUUUGCCAAGGAUGUUUCAUUAAUCAAGAACGAAAGUUAGGGGAUCGAAGACGAUCAGAUACCGUCGUAGUCUUAACCAUAAACUAUGCCGACUAGGGAUCGGAUGAUGUUAAUUUUAUAAUGACUCAUUCGGCGCCUUACGGGAAAC
Molecule: ribosomal RNA, 526 nt
Filed under: uncultured Glomeromycotina
Lineage: Eukaryota; Fungi; Glomeromycota
Description: SSU rRNA
Rfam family: Eukaryotic small subunit ribosomal RNA
Source: RNAcentral